Molecule: ribosomal RNA, 274 nt
Filed under: uncultured bacterium
Lineage: Bacteria
Description: partial 16S ribosomal RNA
Rfam family: Bacterial small subunit ribosomal RNA
Source: RNAcentral
AGACGGAGGGGGCUAGCGUUGUUCGGAAUUACUGGGCGUAAAGCGCGCGUAGGCGGAUUGAUCAGUCAGAGGUGAAAUCCCAGGGCUCAACCCUGGAACUGCCUUUGAUACUGUCAGUCUUGAGUUCGAGAGAGGUGAGUGGAAUUCCGAGUGUAGAGGUGAAAUUCGUAGAUAUUCGGAGGAACACCAGUGGCGAAGGCGGCUCACUGGCUCGGUACUGACGCUGAGGUGCGAAAGCGUGGGGAGCAAACAGGAUUAGAUACCCCAGUAGUCC